This 72-nucleotide transfer RNA is filed under the name Camelus bactrianus (Bactrian camel). It matches the Rfam family "tRNA". From Rfam's summary of the family: Transfer RNA (tRNA) molecules are approximately 80 nucleotides in length. Their secondary structure includes four short double-helical elements and three loops (D, anti-codon, and T loops). RNAcentral also lists the same sequence under 2 other names. Lineage: Eukaryota; Metazoa; Chordata; Mammalia; Artiodactyla; Camelidae. The record is from Rfam by way of RNAcentral.
GUGGGUACAGCUCAGGGGUAGAGUGUGUACUUAGAAUGCACGAGGUCCUGGCUUCAAUUCCCAGUAUCUCCA